AGACAUUAUUAACUCUUUUUAUAAGUCAUAUAAUUCAUCUUUUUUUUCAAACAACAGUACCAUAAUUUUUAAUAAUACAUAUAUGACAUUUCAAGAAGAGUAUAAAAAAACUAUUGAACAAAUAAAUAUGAAUGAAAAAAAAAGUAAAAUUAAUAUGAAUGCUUAUUUAUUAAUAGGGAAUAAUAAUAUCGUAUACCAACUAAAAAAAUUAAAAAAAAAAAAAAUGAACAUCGCCUUUGAAAAUGUACAGGUUAAAAACGAUACAAUAGAAAGUAAUAGUAUAACUGCUGUAAACGAUAUAAAAAACGACUUAACAAAUGAAAAAAAAAAGAUUGAAAAAAAGACGAUUGAAAAAAAGACGAUUGAAAAAAAAGCAAUUGAAAACAGUGUUAUAAAUAUAAAUAUUUAUAUCGGAACACCAGGAAGAAUAAGUACGUUAAUAAAUGAAAAAAAAAUUAUACAAUUAAAAAAUAUAUCUACUAUAAUUAUAGAUGAGUAUGAUUUUUUUUUUAAUUCAUUUAAACAAAAUGGUAAACAAAAUAUGAACAAGAUAGAGCUGGAAAAUAAAUUUGUUUCCAAUUUGUUAAAAAGUAUAUACACACAGAAAAAAAUGAAUAGUAUGAAAAAUAUAAAUAAAAAAAAUAGUAAUAUUAAUUGUAUUAACAAAAUAAAAUCUACUGAUGUUAUAUGCUGUAGUGCCACACCCGCAGUGUACUCUUUUCUGUUAUAUACAAAACAUAUUAUUACUAGGAACUUCUUGCAAAGCUUACAUGGUCAGGAUGUCCAAAAUGAGACUUACCAGUGUUCUAGUAAUAGUCACAUAGAAAGUAGUAACAACAGUAACGGAAACAGUUGCAAAAUAUCCUCAACAGAUUCAACAAUUAAUAACACUUUUAUAAAAAAGAAUGGGUCAUUUAUUAAUUACGAAGAAGAGAAAACAAUGUUAUAUAAUUUAUUGCAUUUAGAGGAGGAUAUAAAAGUAUCAAAUAAUUUAGUUCAUUUCAAUUACUACUAUAAUAAAAAUAGGAAAAACAAUAACAAUAGUUCUAUAUCCAAUCUUUUAAGAAUCUUAUUUUCAAAUCCUUUGAAUAAAAAUGUUCUAAUUUUUUGUAACACUAAGGUUUUUUUUUUUUUUUUUUUUUUUUUUUUUAUUUAAAAUGAAUGGCUACACAUUUUUUAUUUUUUUUUUUUUUUAUUUUUGAUCAAUAACAGGUCUUUUAUGUUAUGCUAUGUUUUCACCUACAUAACAUUUUGAUACUUAUUAUUUAUACAUGCACAUACACAUAUAUUUACAGAAGAAGGUCAUGGAUAUCUGGAGUUUAUUCAAAAACAGAUUUGACAUUGAUGUACAAACCAUAUUUGCCCAUGAAGAUACAAAAAAUAAUAAAAAAAAAGAAAAAAAAGAAAUCUUUAAAAAU
Molecule: long non-coding RNA, 1418 nt
Filed under: Piliocolobus tephrosceles (Ugandan red Colobus)
Lineage: Eukaryota; Metazoa; Chordata; Mammalia; Primates; Cercopithecidae
Description: lncRNA (ENSPTEG00000015898.1)
Source: RNAcentral